This 517-nucleotide ribosomal RNA is filed under the name Helotiales sp. 3 ICMP 18921. Its description in RNAcentral is "eukaryotic LSU rRNA". The stretch from base 191 to 344 matches the Rfam family "5.8S ribosomal RNA". Lineage: Eukaryota; Fungi; Ascomycota; Leotiomycetes; Helotiales. The record is from RNAcentral.
UCCGUAGGUGAACCUGCGGAAGGAUCAUUAAAGUAGUAUUUGCCCUCGCGGGUAGAGACGCCACCCUUGUAUAACCUAUGAUUGUUGCUUUGGCGGACCGCCUUCGGGCCCUGGCUUCGGCUGGGAUGUGUCCGCCAGAGGACCCCAAACUCUGAAUGUUAGUGUCGUCUGAGUACUAUUCAAUAGUUAAAACUUUCAACAACGGAUCUCUUGGUUCUGGCAUCGAUGAAGAACGCAGCGAAAUGCGAUAAGUAAUGUGAAUUGCAGAAUUCAGUGAAUCAUCGAAUCUUUGAACGCACAUUGCGCCCCUUGGUAUUCCGGGGGGCAUGCCUGUUCGAGCGUCAUUUAAACCAAUCCAGCUCGCUGGGUCUUGGGCUUUCGCCUCUGGGCGGGCCUCAAAAUUAGUGGCGGCACCGCCAGGCUCUAAGCGUAGUAAAAUAUCUCGCUACAGGGUCCUGACGGAUGCUGGCCAGCAACCCCCAAUUUUCUAGGUUGACCUCGGAUCAGGUAGGGAUAC